Molecule: non-coding RNA, 278 nt
Organism: Microcebus murinus (gray mouse lemur)
Lineage: Eukaryota; Metazoa; Chordata; Mammalia; Primates; Cheirogaleidae
Source: RefSeq, a predicted model, not a curated record
GGUGCUGUGAAAAGGGCAGAGAACAACGCCCCCCAUACACACACCCUGGGUGAGCCCAGCCCCUCCCGGUGCUUUCUGAGUCCAGAAGAGGCAAAAAGGUCCAAUGAGAGAAUGUGAUGGUCACCACUCUGUGGGCAACUGGCCUCUUCGAAACUUCCACCCAGCUGAAGAGUGUGCUGCGACUGCCCCUACAUUUGGCAGCAAGUCACACGCAUGGUACUCAUGGCUUAAACUGUACUGUGGCGCUUCACAAAUAAAUUGUGUAUUCAAAAACUGUA